CUCUCAAAAAUAACUGCUGUGGUGGUAGUUCAGGGCAGUUGUGUACGCUCCCAUGGUUUGCGGCCUAUCUUCUCCACUACGCACGGUUACUAUGAAACUGGGAACGUGGGUAGACAGUUAAAUUACACUGCACUUAUAAAAACCCUCACCUUAUCUCGUGGUCUCCUCAUUCCGUAGAAACCGUCAUCCUUGUAUGAGAAUUUCAGGUGCAAUCGCCAAUCGAGGAGGUUUUUGGCAGUUCAAGGAUAUCCGCUCCAUUCCCCAUCACAGUGGCACCGGAUUCUCAAAAAGAAAAAAUCCAGUCCAAGUUCAGAGCUAUGGUUAGGGUUACACCACAGUUGAAAGUUAAAGGAAGGUGAUUGGAACCUUUGUAAUCAACCGAUUAAUGUAAAUCAUGGACCUUUCGAAGAUUGAAGAGAAUUUGUUCUCAUUUGGUGAACCAAAGAAUGUAAAUCGUCUCGUAUUUUGAGAACAUUUGAUGACGAAGCACAAGCAAUGAAGUCUGCUCGUAACUCAUCUCGAAAUGUUGGAAGAAGCAACUGCAACUGGAACAACCAUCCUUGCUAAAUACUCUGAACAAAGGGAUCACUUAAAGGUAGCCAGUUUUUCAAUUGUUGAACUGUAUUUAAUUUAAGCACUGAUGUGCUUUUUAUUUUAUUUGAUCAAGACCAGAUGUUGCACUUUUUGCUAUAGAUAUUUUCUUGCACCACAAAAUUUUUGCUCAGCUAUUCUAAUGUGGCCAGUAACUUAACCUAAUUGGCUAAUUGUUACCGUUUUUUAGAGUGUGUGUCGUGCAUAAUACUUAGUUGU
Molecule: long non-coding RNA, 810 nt
Organism: Helianthus annuus (common sunflower)
Lineage: Eukaryota; Viridiplantae; Streptophyta; Magnoliopsida; Asterales; Asteraceae
Exons: 3
Source: RefSeq, a predicted model, not a curated record